Molecule: ribosomal RNA, 497 nt
Filed under: uncultured bacterium
Lineage: Bacteria
Description: partial 16S ribosomal RNA
Rfam family: Bacterial small subunit ribosomal RNA
Source: RNAcentral
GAUGAACGCUGGCGGCGUGCCUAAUACAUGCAAGUCGAGCGAACGGACGAGAAGCUUGCUUCCCUGAUGUUAGCGGCGGACGGGUGAGUAACACGUGGAUAACCUACCUAUAAGACUGGGAUAACUUCGGGAAACCGUAGCCAAUACUGGAUAAUAUUUUGAACCGCAUGGUUCAAAAGUGAGAGACGGUUUUGCUGUCACUUAUAGAUGGAUCCGCGCUGCAUUAGCUAGUUGGUAAGGUAACGGCUUACCAAGGCAACGAUGCAUAGCCGACCUGAGAGGGUGAUCGGCCACACUGGAACUGAGACACGGUCCAGACUCCUACGGGAGGCAGCAGUAGGGAAUCUUCCACAAUGGGCGAAAGCCUGACGGAGCAACACCGCGUGAGUGAUGAAGGUCUUCGGAUCGUAAAGCUCUGUUAUUAGGAAAGAACAUAUGUAUAAGUAACUGUGCACAUCUUGACGGUACCUAAUCAGAAAGCCACGGCUAACUACGUG